UUGGACUCAACGCCGAAACGUCACCGGGGCGACAGCAAUAUGUAGGUCAAGCUAAAGACUUUACCAGAAUCGCUGAGAGGAGGUGCAUGGCCGUCGUCAGUUCGUACUGUGAAGCAUCCUGUUAAGUCAGGCAACGAGCGAGACCCGUGCCCACUGUUGCCAGCAUGUCCUUCGGGAUGAUGGGUACUCUGUGGGACCGCCGAUGCUAAAUCGGAGGAAGGUGCGGGCUACGGUAGGUCAGUAUGCCCCGAAUCUCCCGGGCUACACGCGGGCUACAAUGACUGGGACAAUGGGCUCCUACCCCGAAAGGGGAUGGUAAUCUCAUAAACCCAGCCUUAGUUCGGAUCGAGGGCUGUAACCCGCCCUCGUGAAGCUGGAAUCCGUAGUAAUCGCGUUUCAACAUAGCGCGGUGAAUACGUCCCUGCUCCUU
RNAcentral lists this ribosomal RNA (430 nucleotides) under uncultured Methanomethylovorans sp. Its description in RNAcentral is "bacterial SSU rRNA". It matches the Rfam family "Archaeal small subunit ribosomal RNA", at positions 906 to 1338 of the family's 1478-position model. The record is from RNAcentral. Lineage: Archaea; Methanobacteriati; Methanobacteriota; Methanomicrobia; Methanosarcinales; Methanosarcinaceae.